UAUUAAUUAGUUGAAAUUCACAACAUUAAGUUGCAAACUUGAAAGAAUGGCCUUACCCAUAUUAAUUU
RNAcentral lists this transfer RNA (68 nucleotides) under Nacella magellanica. Its description in RNAcentral is "tRNA-Cys". The record is from RNAcentral. RNAcentral also lists the same sequence under 2 other names. Lineage: Eukaryota; Metazoa; Mollusca; Gastropoda; Nacellidae.